This 43-nucleotide transfer RNA is filed under the name Silene latifolia. RNAcentral describes it as "tRNA-L2". The record is from RNAcentral. Lineage: Eukaryota; Viridiplantae; Streptophyta; Magnoliopsida; Caryophyllales; Caryophyllaceae. RNAcentral also lists the same sequence under 11 other names.
GGUUCAAGUCCCUCUAUCCCCAAAAGCUUUUUUCACUCCUUAA